AAAGGUGAACCUCGGAGGGAUCAUUA
RNAcentral lists this ribosomal RNA (26 nucleotides) under Stemphylium solani. RNAcentral describes it as "partial 18S ribosomal RNA". Lineage: Eukaryota; Fungi; Ascomycota; Dothideomycetes; Pleosporales; Pleosporaceae. The record is from RNAcentral.